Molecule: ribosomal RNA, 488 nt
Filed under: uncultured bacterium
Lineage: Bacteria
Description: partial 16S ribosomal RNA
Rfam family: Bacterial small subunit ribosomal RNA
Source: RNAcentral
GAUGAACGCUAGCGGCAGGCCUAAUACAUGCAAGUCGGACGGGAUCCAUUGAUAGCUUGCUAUCAAUGGUGAGAGUGGCGCACGGGUGCGUAACGCGUGAGCAACCUGCCUCCAUCAGGGGGAUAGCCUCUCGAAAGAGAGAUUAACACCGCAUAAUAUCAACAGUUCGCAUGUUCAGUUGAUUAAAUAUUUAUAGGAUGGAGAUGGGCUCGCGUGACAUUAGCUAGUUGGUAGGGUAACGGCUUACCAAGGCGACGAUGUCUAGGGGCUCUGAGAGGAGAAUCCCCCACACUGGUACUGAGACACGGACCAGACUCCUACGGGAGGCAGCAGUAAGGAAUAUUGGUCAAUGGGCGGAAGCCUGAACCAGCCAUGCCGCGUGCUGGAUGACUGCCCUAUGGGUUGUAAACUGCUUUUGUCCAGGAAUAAACCUAAAUACGAGUAUUUAGCUGAAUGUACUGGAAGAAUAAGGAUCGGCUAACUCCGUG